Molecule: ribosomal RNA, 460 nt
Filed under: uncultured bacterium
Lineage: Bacteria
Description: partial 16S ribosomal RNA
Rfam family: Bacterial small subunit ribosomal RNA
Source: RNAcentral
CCUACGGGGGGCAGCAGUGAGGAAUAUUGGUCAAUGGGCGCAAGCCUGAACCAGCCAAGUCGCGUGAGGGAAGACGGCCCUACGGGUUGUAAACCUCUUUUGCCGGGGAGCAAGCCUGAGCACGUGUGCCCAGGCGGAGAGUACCCGGAGAAAAAGCAUCGGCUAACUCCGUGCCAGCAGCCGCGGUAAUACGGAGGAUGCGAGCUUUAUCCGGAUUUAUUGGGUUAAAGGGGUGCGCAGGCGGGCUGUUAAGCCGGCGGUAAUAAUUCAGGGCUCAACCCUGUCGUGCCGUCGGAACUGGCAGUCUUGAGUGGGCGAGAAGUAUGCGGAAUGCGUGGUGUAGCGGUGAAAUGCAUAGAUAUCACGAAGAACUCCGAUUGCGAAGGCAGCUUACUAAACUGCCACUGACAUUGAUGCUCGAAAGUGUGGGUAUCAAACAGGAUUAGAUACCCCUGUAGUC